AAAACUGAGGAGAUAAAAUGACACACCAGGCAGGUGAAAAUAAAGGUUUAAUGGUAUCGCUUUGGAUUACAACCAGCAAAGCACCACAUAGGUACAGUGAAAUAACGGUGUACUCUUCUGCUAAACUUCACGUUUUUAUCUGCUGGAGUGGGAUGACGAGCUGAAUCAAUCACACACUGUUUAUUGAACGACGCAUAUUUUUCUCUUUGAUUGGACAACCACAGUCACAAUUCUGAAGCAGAGAUGUCGCAUCAUGACAGUAAGUAACAGUUUACAAUAAACAUGCUUUAUUAAUUCAUGACUAGUCCACACUUUGCUUAGAAAGUAAACGUGAAUUAAACCAUGCUGGAUUUAAUAUCGACGGAAGUUCGGCCAGUAUUAUCGAUGUUUGUUAAUAAAAAACCUAAGGUGUGUUUUUUAAUGAACGAAAAGGACUCACAUGCAGUUAAAGCAAACUUUGUCUUGUGAAAGAUCAGUUGUUAUUUUUGUUUAUUUUAAGUAGUAUUCUGAUUUGUUUUUAAUCUGUUAAUUCAGCUUGUACACUCUUUCCAAAUAAAAAACGCAUAUAUUAAAAAUAUACAGUAUGUGUAUUACAUCAGCAAUGAAAGGAUGAUCUGUUCAUUAAAGCUAAUACAAUUCCUAACGUUAAUACAACACAUAUUAAUAAUAAUAAUACUAGUAAUAAUAACAUAGAAUUGUUGAAACAGUGCAUUUUGAUUGAUCAUUUCAGGACACGUCCUUUAAAUGUUUUUAAAAGGUACCACAUUCUACCUGGUAGUUGACAUUGCUGUCAAUUAAAGGAUUUUUACAUUGCUAUCAUCUAAUGUAGCUUAGAAAAUUAAACAUAAAUCGACUAUGCAAAACAAAGUGAUUUACUCAUUGGAUAAACU
Non-coding RNA from Danio rerio (zebrafish), 890 nucleotides. NCBI's taxonomy places the organism in Eukaryota, Metazoa, Chordata, Actinopteri, Cypriniformes, Danionidae. The record is from Ensembl.